CAUUCACGGAGAGUUUGAUCCUGGCUCAGGACGAACGCUGGCGGCGUGCUUAACACAUGCAAGUCGAACGAUGAAGCCCUUCGGGGUGGAUUAGUGGCGAACGGGUGAGUAACACGUGGGCAAUCUGCCCUUCACUCUGGGACAAGCCCUGGAAACGGGGUCUAAUACCGGAUAACACUCCCGCACUCCUGUG
This 193-nucleotide ribosomal RNA is filed under the name Streptomyces sp. SID14478. RNAcentral describes it as "partial 16S ribosomal RNA". It matches the Rfam family "Bacterial small subunit ribosomal RNA", at positions 1 to 194 of the family's 1533-position model. The record is from RNAcentral. Lineage: Bacteria; Bacillati; Actinomycetota; Actinomycetes; Kitasatosporales; Streptomycetaceae.